Molecule: ribosomal RNA, 738 nt
Filed under: Bacillus sp. B_03
Lineage: Bacteria; Bacillati; Bacillota; Bacilli; Caryophanales; Bacillaceae
Description: bacterial SSU rRNA
Rfam family: Bacterial small subunit ribosomal RNA
Source: RNAcentral
CUUGCUCCCGGAUGUUAGCGGCGGACGGGUGAGUAACACGUGGGUAACCUGCCUGUAAGACUGGGAUAACUCCGGGAAACCGGAGCUAAUACCGGAUAGUUCCUUGAACCGCAUGGUUCAAGGAUGAAAGACGGUUUCGGCUGUCACUUACAGAUGGACCCGCGGCGCAUUAGCUAGUUGGUGGGGUAAUGGCUCACCAAGGCGACGAUGCGUAGCCGACCUGAGAGGGUGAUCGGCCACACUGGGACUGAGACACGGCCCAGACUCCUACGGGAGGCAGCAGUAGGGAAUCUUCCGCAAUGGACGAAAGUCUGACGGAGCAACGCCGCGUGAGUGAUGAAGGUUUUCGGAUCGUAAAGCUCUGUUGUUAGGGAAGAACAAGUGCGAGAGUAACUGCUCGCACCUUGACGGUACCUAACCAGAAAGCCACGGCUAACUACGUGCCAGCAGCCGCGGUAAUACGUAGGUGGCAAGCGUUGUCCGGAAUUAUUGGGCGUAAAGGGCUCGCAGGCGGUUUCUUAAGUCUGAUGUGAAAGCCCCCGGCUCAACCGGGGAGGGUCAUUGGAAACUGGGAAACUUGAGUGCAGAAGAGGAGAGUGGAAUUCCACGUGUAGCGGUGAAAUGCGUAGAGAUGUGGAGGAACACCAGUGGCGAAGGCGACUCUCUGGUCUGUAACUGACGCUGAGGAGCGAAAGCGUGGGGAGCGAACAGGAUUAGAUACCCUGGUAGUCCACGCCG